RNAcentral lists this long non-coding RNA (487 nucleotides) under Linum usitatissimum (flax). Its description in RNAcentral is "long non-coding RNA (LUSI_LNC005419)". The record is from RNAcentral. Lineage: Eukaryota; Viridiplantae; Streptophyta; Magnoliopsida; Malpighiales; Linaceae.
AUUCGAAAUUUAAUUUUAUUUCACAAUGUUCCUUCGUCUAGUAUGAACGCCAAAACCGGCAUUUUGUCUUCCUUCCUCUGUUCUUCUUCCUCCUUCCUCCAUAUAUAAAUACAAAACUCCCGGCAAGAAGAAGGAGAAACAGAGUAAAAAUUAUUUUCCAUCAGAAAACAGAUUUCACAAUCUCCCUCUGUAAUUCAUCACAAAGCAAAAAACAGAGACAAAAACUCCAUCCAGAGAGAGCUCUACCGCAACAGCGAAGAAGAAGACGAAGAUUUAGAGAACUGAUUGAUUGCUUUUUCCUUUCUUCUGAUUGAAUCGAUGGGUUCAAUGGCGAUGCCGACCCAGGAGAGAUCCAAGCCACUCCACAACUUCUCCCUCCCUUGUUUGAAAUGGGGAACCCAGCGAGUCCUCCGCUGCGUCAAAAUCCCUCCUCCUCCUCCUCCUCCCCCGCCGCCUCAUCAUCACCGGCAACCACCCGCCGNNNNNN